AUGAGAUGGGGGCGGAGGGGGGGGCGGCGGGACGGAGAUUCCAGUCUCUCUUCAGGACACCCACUCUACAAUUGGGCAAUUGGGGAGGAGGAAGGCAUCGGGAGAAACGACCCGAAGGAAAGAGAAGCUGGCUCUUUGCAAUGGGAGAAGGCGUUCACUCCUGAACCAGGGGCAGGCCUGCGGCUGGGUGGACGCUGUAGGGUGGGAACGCUCGAUAACUGGAGAGUCCCAGAGACCACCAGGCCUUUCCGCACCAGGAAAAAAAAAAAAAUCUGCUCUAAGAAUCUUCAUCUCGGUCCACCAGGAACAGCAAGUGGAUGGGAAAGAACCUUGACAACACAAAACUCAUUUACUAAUGGACUGGUUUUGGGUUUCUCUUCUCUGAGUCCGCAAAUCUCUCUGCCUGAGCCCCAGGCCUAUUCAGACCUCGUGGAGAGCGGCGUCCCCCAGGAACAGGUGGGCUGCUGCUCCGGCGCCACGCCGGCCGUCAGAGUCGGAGUUCCCAAGGGUCGAGGGCACCCGGAGUUUCCGACUAAGCACAAGAAAAAUAAUUUUGGCACUUCAGCCCGGAUUUGGGGAGUCUCCGCACUGCCCCAGAGCGAUGACACGAAUUUAUUGAAGAAACACCUCUCUGUGCCCUCCCUUUCCAAAUAUUUGUAGGUAGAGUAGGAUCCUCACCGUCGUUCUGGAUGGUGAAAGAAUUACAACAAAGCUGCCCGGGAGCCCCAAAGUAUCUUGCUCCAAGCCAGAAGGGAAACAAGUAGGUCCCAGCUAGGAGUGUUUGCAUCAAGGCCUAUGUGAACCCAGCUGAGAAACCCUAGCAACUGCUAAUGCUGUCCCAUUGAAUGCUUUUUUGUCGACUAAUUAUGCGCACGCGGCCGUUACCUGCACAGAGGAGGCACUGGAGAGCCGAAACCUAGCAUCGGGCGCUCCUUGCCAGCGGUGUUCUCUCCCAAGCCGCGCUGCGGCGAGGGCAGCAGCCGCUGGCUAGAGUUGCUUGUUUCCUUUAAAUCUCCAACGCAUCUCUGCUUUUCGUGCGAUUUGCAUUGACAGCAAAGGUUUUAUGUUACCAGAACAACUCAAACCUUUCUGCGUGCGAUUUUAAAUGGAUCAUUUGGUUUAGGUGGUUUGUAAAUUCAUGUCAUUUUAUCUUUUUUAGUGAUUUUCAGUAAAAGAUUCCAUUUGGGAAACCGUAUAUAUCCGAGCCAAUAAUUAACAUUUAUAACAAUUGGUUCCCCUAACCGAGGGAUCGAAAUAGCAGGUAGACUCCUUGGUAUAAAGCGCAGAGCACUUUCCAUUUCCAGUUACUCGAUCUAUUGGAUUAAGCGGGAGGAAAAAUGUUGGCGGGCCCAGUCACGGCCUCCGAGGAAGAGCACCUCUUCUCUUCUACCCGGGUUCCCGCAAUCACAGCUUCUACACGUCGUUUUCCCAGUUGACGGCAAUAUAUAGUACGUCCUGGUUCCUUUUGAAGACAAGUAAAAAGAAAUAGGCAGGUAGGUCUGGAGGAAGCCGGGGUGGGGUGGGGGGGAAGGUGGUCCUAUUCGUGUCUAAUUGCCAUCUCUCUGCUCUCUGUCAUCCUCUGUAAAUGUAUACCUGCCCUUAUUUGUCCAGGCUAUGCCUCAUUUCCUUAUACAGAAUUGUUAAUUACAAAUCAGACCUCAUACUCAACAUACUGUUUGUCUUUCAAGAGACGUGGUUGUGCUUAAAGACCCUCCCCUCCUUGUAAUUGUGCGCACUUGCUCCAGACUUUAGGGUAUUAACUGAUUUUUUAGAGCCGGGUUUAAGCCUCCGUUCCGGUCCUCACACAGCUGCCAUGUCAAUAAGGACUGUUUCAAGCAGAGACAUUCCUUCUGGGAGGACACUGCAGCUCCUUAAGACUUCAUGUGAAACAUCAUAAGCACUAAAAUGAGACAGUGAGGGGAAAUUACCAGAGGUGGCUCUGGGUUUAACAGUGCCAGGCUUCCAGUUUAGAAAGUCAUUGGGCAUACUAUAUGGCAGAGGCUCUUUUGAAAGAAUGCACACCCAUUAAAUGCAUUUUUUUUAAAAGCCUAAGGUAAUGAAAUAUAAGCAUCUGCUUCCAAGAUCUAAUUGCAUGGAAUAAGCAAGAGUUUCCAGGAUGCAGAAAGCAUUAUGUUCAGCAGAGAAGCAGCUUCCUGUCUACUUGGAAUCUCCCAUGUGGCAACCCUGAGGUGGGAACCCUAUAUGAGUUUAGAAUGUAUGUUGCAGGGUGCACUGUACUGGGUGCAUCAUUUUAAAACCAUAUUAAUAAUAAAAGGGGAAACCCAGACACUGCUUCUCCUUCUCCCACUUGCAUCUCAAUAUGCAGAAGGUUCUGUGGUGCUGGGCUCUUUGACUAAAGGAAUCAAAACAUAUUUAAAGAAGACAAGCUAGUUUAAGGAGCCUACAGUUUGUUCUUCACCACUCACUAAGAGGGCACAUUGAAAUCAAAAGCAUUUUUGAAGUGUACUUAGAAUUCUGUUUUGAACUUAUCUAAUCAGAGAUAAGUAUAGUCAUAAAGUCACUCUCCUUCCACCAUUUGGCUUCCCUUAUCUCCACGCAUUGUUCUUAUCUCCUGCUGGUCUCAGCUACCGACAAUAGAUUAUCUUUGUUUAGAGAGGCUAAUUGUCUUCAAAAUCUUUUUAAUAAUUGCUUUGGAACCAGGUGUGCAAAUGAGGCUUAAGAUAAUUACAACUUCAUUUGUUUGUGCAGUUUUACUAAGCAUUCUCCACACAUAAACAAAACAGCAGAUGAUGGGACUUAAAUUGCAGUACAUCUCUCAUUCCUUGGCAGCAAAAUAGGCCAGCAUUGCAACACACACACACACACACACACACACACACACACACACACACACCCCUCUUUAUUUAAUCUUCUUGGAGCCGCUGUCGUCCUCGCUUUGAGGGCAGUGUCCCUCUCAGAGCAGGGUAAGGAUUAUGUUACAACCGGACGGUUAUUGGAGCCGGGCACAAUUUUAUUUAAUUUACACCACAUCCAGCGCCUUUCGUACGAGGUUCCCAAAGCAUUUUUUGCUAAUAGCAAGUAAAGCUUCUCGGCAUUCCUCAGUAGCAGAAGUGGCAUUGGAAAACGCAACAGCACAGAUGGGGGAAAUUGAGUCUAGAAGCUUCAGGAACCUGCUGGUUUCAACCGCAGAACAUUAAGAUACCAAAUCACAAAUGAACGCUCGGAGUCUCUAGGUGCUCAGCAAGUAUGCCCGAAACACCUCUUUGCCUGGUCUCAAAUCAUGGACGUCCUUUGUGAAUGAGGGAAACGCUGUCCGACUGGGAGUACUUGUGCCCUUUGGAGGGUGGUGUGCGGCAGCUGGGGGAGGACAGUGGGAGUUGGUGGGGGGAGGGGGAAGGAAAUAGGGUUGGCUUCUCGAGCUGAAGCCAACCCGAAGAGAAGCCACUGCUGCAGAGGCUGCAUGCGGAGACCCAGGUCUGCUCUUGAAUUAUUUAUCGCGUUCCAUAAGCUAUUCAUCAAUCCAUUAUUUAUUCAUUCCAACAUUAAAGUAAUUAAAUAUGAGCUCACCGGGAAAGGGCAAGUUUGUAAGGGAUGAAAGCAAGAGUACGGAGGGAGAGGGGAGGAAUUAAGGUUUGGAGUAAUUGAUUUGUGCGGAGUUUUGCGCGACUCCCCUUAGGUGAUACUGGUGACGGGUCCCGCGCUGCAGGGUCCUGACGCGCUCACCCACUCUCUAUCUCCCCACACCUCCGCAGCGCAGCUCCCUCAGACCCCAACUGGCUUCCCACCUUUCCUCUUCCUUCUCCUCCCACCACUCCCUCCCUGCGCAGCCCCGGCAACACCCCCAACCCCCAGCUCCUCAGCCUCGCCCUCCCCGCGCUGGGCGGUGCGGCCUCGAUGGGCGGUGCGGCCUCUCUGCCCAGCCGGGCGGCGCGCUGGCUGGCCAGCCCGGGAUAGGCGCCGCCCGCA
Molecule: long non-coding RNA, 3927 nt
Filed under: Macaca mulatta (Rhesus monkey)
Lineage: Eukaryota; Metazoa; Chordata; Mammalia; Primates; Cercopithecidae
Description: lncRNA (ENSMMUG00000058450.1)
Source: RNAcentral